AACCAUAGAAACCUGCGGAGUACCUGCGGAAGGAUCAUUAAAAAAAUGAUGAAUGUCGGGGGGCGUUCAGAAUUAGUUUUACUUUUUUUGUCGCUCUCCGUGUAUUCAACCAACCCGCUCUUGCAUUUGGAUCAACCAAAAAUAAACAAAAAUACUAAAAAUAAACUUUUAACAAUGGAUCU
This 182-nucleotide unclassified non-coding RNA is filed under the name soil metagenome. Its description in RNAcentral is "partial contains 5.8S ribosomal RNA, internal transcribed spacer 2, and large subunit ribosomal RNA". The record is from RNAcentral.